GACGAACGCUGGCGGCGUGCCGUAACACAUGCAAGUCGAACGGAGCAGAUCCCUUCGGGGGUUUGCUCAGUGGCGAACGGGUGAGUAACGCGUGAGGAACCUGCCUUUCAGUGGGGGACAACAGUUGGAAACGACUGCUAAUACCGCAUAAUGCUUUUGAGCGGCAUCGCUUGAAAGCCAAAGAUUUAUUGCUGAAAGAUGACCUCGCGUCUGAUUAGCUGGUUGGUGAGGUAAUGGCUCACCAAGGCGACGAUCAGUAGCCGGACUGAGAGGUUGAACGGCCACAUUGGGACUGAGAUACGGCCCAG
RNAcentral lists this ribosomal RNA (308 nucleotides) under uncultured bacterium. Its description in RNAcentral is "bacterial SSU rRNA". It matches the Rfam family "Bacterial small subunit ribosomal RNA", at positions 28 to 334 of the family's 1533-position model. The record is from RNAcentral.